GUCAGUGAAAUGUUUUAUUUCUUGGCAAAAGGUAUGUUUAUUUUUAAUAGUUAAGAUAAUGUAUUUUAUGUUGUUUGGUUCACGUUUUGCAAAUGUGUAAAAUGAUUGCAUUAUUUUUUGUGUUGAGUUAUUUCUUGUUGAAAGUUAUCGCGAGAUUUGCAUUUACGUGAAAGGCGACGUGUCUUGAAUAAACUUAGAAGGCGCAGAAGCUUGGAACAGAGCUAUGUGGAGCAGCCUUGUGUUUACUGUAGCUGUCAAGAGUGGACGAGGAAGAAUUAAACUGUUAAAGACCUCCGAAGUGGCAGGCGGUCACGAGUUUUCACGGCGUUAAUAAAGAGCCCGUCUAAAGGAAGCCGUGCCAGUGUUGUCACUUUGGAGUUACAGUGAAAACUCACCCAGCCAACGCCGGUAAGAAGCUCGUUAAGACGACGGCAGCUGCAGUGAGCGACGGUACCGUGAUGUAACACAAGAGGGCGCCAUUUGUCAAGCUCACCGUUUAUAAGAAACCAGCAGCAACAACCUUGUACAGCUGAAGUAGGAUGGUAAUUAAGGACAAUGUUAAAAGUAGAAUAAGAGUGGAUUAAUUGAAAUUUAAAACCACAAUAAGUUUCUACAACACAUUUGUCAAAAGGUUACUUAUUCUCUUCUGAACUUCAAGCUAUGAGUUGUUGCUAAGGAAAAGGUGUUGUGUUUUUAUCGUGAGG
Long non-coding RNA from Cyprinodon tularosa, 704 nucleotides. RefSeq lists it as uncharacterized. Lineage: Eukaryota; Metazoa; Chordata; Actinopteri; Cyprinodontiformes; Cyprinodontidae. The transcript is spliced from 3 exons. The record is from RefSeq and is a predicted model, not a curated record.